GGCGGCGUUGCUUAACACAUGGCAAGUCGAACGAAGCGGCAGUGAAGGAGGCUUCGGCCAAUGGAUCUGACGACUUAGUGGCGGACGGGUGAGUAACGCGUGAGCAACCUGCCUUUUCAGGAGGGGGUAUAACGUUUGGAAACGAACGCUAAAUACCGCAUGACAUUAGUCUUAUCGCAUGGUAGGGCUAUCAAAGGAGCAAUCCGCUGAAAGAUGGGCUCGCGUCCGAUUUAGAUAGUUGGUGGGGUAACGGCCUACCAAGUCGACGAUCGGUAGCCGGACUGAGAGGUUGAACGGCCACAUUGGGACUGAGACACGGCCCAGACUCCUAACGGGAGGCAGCAGUGGGGAAUAUUGCACAAUGGGCGCGAAGCCUGUAAUGCAGCAACGCCGCGUGUAGGGAAGACGGUUUUCGGAUUGUAAACCUCUGUCCUUGGUGAAGAUUAUGACGGUAGCCGAGGAGGAAGCCACGGCUAACUACGUGCCAGCCGCCGC
This 495-nucleotide ribosomal RNA is filed under the name uncultured bacterium. RNAcentral's name for it is "bacterial SSU rRNA". It matches the Rfam family "Bacterial small subunit ribosomal RNA", at positions 38 to 518 of the family's 1533-position model. The record is from RNAcentral.